This 230-nucleotide unclassified non-coding RNA is filed under the name Hevea brasiliensis (rubber tree). Lineage: Eukaryota; Viridiplantae; Streptophyta; Magnoliopsida; Malpighiales; Euphorbiaceae. The record is from RNAcentral.
GAGAUCCUGACCCCGCGCGGGAGGGUCGGGAGAGACUUCAAUGCUGUUGAUGCGGACGAGAUGGGUGUCGGUUCCGCAGUCCUUCCAGUCCCACUUCUUGCCUCCGGGAACACCAGGGAACAGGACCUCCUGCUCUUGAACUGGAGAGGCUACCGUGACGCCAACCGCGACAGCAGUCCAGAAAAGCAGACCGAAGCGAGCCAUGCUGAGAGUAGAGGGGCACCGUCGUC